CCCAGGCCCGUCUACCACUGUUGAGGAUCGACCGACCUGAGAUUUUUAUAGUGGGCGCCGACUGAGUUAUGGCUCCACAUCACAUGCGCAUGCUUCAUGCGAUGCAGCGACAGAUGACUACAUUCAGGAUCUAGAGACGAUGAUGCCUUCUACUGGAGCUGACAGCACCACCGAUACAUGUCAUCCUGCGCCGCAUCCAGCUAUAAGGAGACGACUUGAUGAUGAUGAUCCUGAUAGCGUACCCGGGCGGGAGGGGAUGCACCUCAGGCCAGCGGCUGCAUUGAGACACACCGGAUGCGGGACACAUUG
Nicotiana tabacum (common tobacco) is the source of this 309-nucleotide non-coding RNA. The record is from RefSeq and is a predicted model, not a curated record. NCBI's taxonomy places the organism in Eukaryota, Viridiplantae, Streptophyta, Magnoliopsida, Solanales, Solanaceae.